AGGUCGUUUACAUAGCGUUGGGGCUAAUCGCUCUUUGUCAAUAUGUAUAUGCCGCCAGUCAAAAGAAAGGAUUCGGCAUUGACGCGUCUGGAUUUCGAUGUGGUGAUACUUGGGCAUUAACAGAUGCCUCGUGGUGGUAUGAUUGGAGAUUUGAUCAAGGAGAGCGACACUGGCACUAUUGUCCGAACGCUGGAAAACCUGGAUACGUUCCAAUGAUAUUUAAUGAAGCGCUUGCCCACACGGCUGUGAUCCCACAAGAUGCAAAAUAUGUAUUAGGCUUUAAUGAGCCCAAUGAGCCAGAGCAAGCAGGAAUGACCCCAGAGAGAUGUGCUCAGGUUUGGCCACUUGUCGAACAAAAAGCUGGGAAUCGAAUUUUGAUUGGCCCAGCUCUAAAUGACUGUGACACGGAUCCCGACAUGUGCAUCCAAUGGUAUGAAAGGUUUUUUAAAACUUGUCCAAACUGCCGAGUUGAUAGAAUUGCUAUCCAUGGUUACCACUGCCUUCCAUACAAAAUGAUUGACUCCAUUACAAAGAUUUCAAAGCAUUUCAAAAGAAAAAUUUGGCUUACAGAGUUUAGUUGCAAAGGUUACGUCUCUGUCGAUGAUGAUAUGAACUUCAUGAGAACUCUAAUACCCAUGCUUGAGAAAUCACCGUAUGUGGAGAGAUAUGCAUGGUUCGAUUUACGUCUAGCCAACCUUACCGGGUACUUGCCAAACCGCAGCACCAAUCUUUUGGAACAGGACUCUUCAAAACUAACAAGGCUCGGCCAACUUUACAACACUUUGCGAUGAAGUAUUUAUCUUUGAAUAAAAUAUAAUCCCUAUUAUAA
Long non-coding RNA from Patella vulgata (common limpet), 829 nucleotides. RefSeq lists it as uncharacterized. Lineage: Eukaryota; Metazoa; Mollusca; Gastropoda; Patellidae. The transcript is spliced from 2 exons. The record is from RefSeq and is a predicted model, not a curated record.